UCUUACAACCGAGGUGCAAGGGCUGUCGCUGACCCUUCAAAGGUCGUGCACGCCCGAGCGCUCUCACCACAAUCCAUCUCACCCUUUUGUGCAUCACCGCGUGGGUCCCCCUUUGCGGGAGGGCCCGCGUUUUCACAUAAAACUUGACACAGUCUAGAAUGUUUAUUUUUGCGGUCACACGCAAUCAAUA
RNAcentral lists this unclassified non-coding RNA (190 nucleotides) under uncultured Russula. RNAcentral describes it as "sequence contains ITS1". The record is from RNAcentral. Lineage: Eukaryota; Fungi; Basidiomycota; Agaricomycetes; Russulales; Russulaceae.